AAAUUGUCUAUGUUCGAACAAAAAUAGUGAUGUCAUGUUACAACAUAUUAAUAAUCUAUUGAUGUUUAACUGCUUUAUCGACUACUUUUUCAAAUGUGUUUGUUUUUAUAAAAAAUGUAAUAGGUAUGAGUAUUAUUACUAAUAUUAGACCUUAUUAGCGCCUUUAGUACCUUUAAUUUUCUUUUACAGCGGACGCAUAGUAAAUAACAAUACUGAUAGUGAUAACCGAGGCUACAGUUACAGUCGUUACAGUCAGCAUCAAAAUGGUCAAAUAUAUAGGUACACAUGUGUCACAAUGGUCAAAUAUAUUGUUACUUAUUUUACAGUACAUAUGGAGCUACUUUACCGCACUAGUGCGAUAAUUAGCACAUUACGUAACUAUAUCGAACAUUUUAAGGGCCAUAUAUAUUGUAAUACAUUUGCGAAUAGUUCAUUCGAAACUCGUGUCGACUUAAAAUCGUAUCGCCACUCAUUGCGAUUUUUUAUUUUUCUCACCUGGUUUGGUGUUCUGGGACGUUUACUUACUUACUACUUACUCCGUUGGCUCAGCGACCCAAAAUGAGACUUGGCCUCCGACACAAGACAGCGCCACUUUUCUCGGUCCUGUGCGACCUCUCGCCAAUUGUCGACUCGAAGCUCGCGCAGAUCCGCCUCCACCAUGUCGCUCCAGCGAUACCUAGGGCGUCCGAUAGGACGUCCUCCUGCUAGGCGACCCAGGUACGCUCUUUUUACGUUUUUUCGUUUUUACUUGACUAAAUUACUAACGUAGUCCGAUCAAGCAUUAUGGAACGCGGCGCUGUCGGUAAAGCAGGUGACUCGCGUUGAUAAAGCAGGUUUCUGUCGUAUGCGGGUGUGAGUGGUUUAACAUGUGCAAUGUCGUUAACACAAACACAUGCUAAGUGUUAACAGUAGGCGCAAAUAGUUGACUUACCAAAGGAAAUUUGAAUUUCACGCCUUUUCCGCCUGACAAGUUGGGUUGGGUGUGUAUACGCUGUCUUGUGUUUCCUUGUGUUGGCGGCAAAGUCGUGGAAAAGUGGUUAAAAUGUAAGUAAUGUGUUGGAAAGUGAAGUUUAAAUUUAUCGCUGAACAUGUGCACCUUCAAAAAAGGUAUUAUAACAAUCGUUAUUAUUUUAAGUCGGUUAUAAAGGUUAAUAUCUUAAUGAUGUCUUGUGAACAACUAAUUCCAUACCUACUAAUAUACCGACAAGUUAUCGAUACAGUCAUAUGAACAUUUUGUCAAGCCCUAGCGUAAAGUAACAGUUUAGGUUUUUACACAAAAUAUUCUAAAUUAUUGACUAAUAUCAUGAAAUAUUAACACACAAUUGAAGAAAAACUUAUAAUGAACUAUAUAAAUUGGCUUUUUACACUUUUUAUGCUGUUAAUUUGAUAAAAUAUCGUUACGAAAAUUUCGCUACGAUUAUCAUAAUUACCUGUGAAAUGAGUAUUUCCCUGGGUUUAUUGGCCCUGAAACACAACAAUCCGGCACACAACAUGACACCAUCUUCACUAAAUUACUUAAUAUUUAUUUUUGAUUUUGAUUCUCGUAUAUUUUUAACGUUAAAAAAUACGGCAAUAUGAUUUUGGCCGCCUCGGCCGCCUUCGAAUUCAAAAAAUGGUUACGUUUUCUCAUAUGUAGUCUGCCUCUUUCACACUCGUGACUUGUUCAUAUACGUGAUGGCUUCCCUUUCGCACACUUCAUCUGUCUGUCAAGCGAAGCGUAUGACAAGUCUCUGUGUUUGCCCGUUGUUGGGGUUGGUGAUACAGAACUGGAGGUCUAUGAUGGGACUAAAUACAUUAAAUCAAAUGUUAGUGACGUACUGUAUGUGCCGGACAUUAAAUGGAAUUUGUUUUCGGUGAAGAAAAUUGUUGACAAUGGUUAUGUUGUGACUUUACGGAUACCGAAUGUAUUAUUACAAAAGACGACAACGUAUGUGGUUUGGGAACUCGUGCGGGAAAUAACUAUCUGCUAAACGUUAAUAUGUUCCCUGGAUGUGUGGCAUGAAAGAUUUUAUCACCAAAAUAAAAGAUAUGUCAAAGACAUGCUAAACAAAAGCAACAUAAAGUUUGUGGACAGUGAGAAGAAGUGCGAGAACUGUGUGCUGAACAAAAUAACUAGAAUGCCCUUUGUAACAAACUCAAAUACAGCCAGUGAAGUUCUUGGAGUGGUUCAUGCUGAUGUUGCGGGCCCUAUGGAGAUUGCAUCUGUGGGAGGAGCGAGAUAUUUCCUUCUUCUCAAAGAUGAUUUGUCAAAUUACAGGGUAGUGUAUUUUCUAAAGCACAAAUCAGAGGUACCAGAAAAAAACAAACAUUAUAUUCUUACCUCCGAGAGAUACACCUGCAAGAAAUUGAAAAUUUUGAAAUCUGACAAUGGGACAGAGUUCGUAAAUCGAGGAACUUAAGGACAUACUGGGAGCCAAGGGCAUCAUACAUCAAACCACAAUCCCAUACACAUCCGAACAGAACUCUAGGGCAGAACGCAAGAUGAGGACGCUGGUGGAGGCUGCACGUUCCAUGAUAAAUGGCUUCGGGAAGGAAGGCUUCUGUCCAGCCAUUAAUAUGGCAGUCUAUGUCAUUAACCGAACUGGCAAGAAUCACGUUGAAGGAAAAAUGCCUUAUGAGGUGUGGGAAGGAAAAGAGUUUGAUUUGAGUAAUUUAAAGAUGAUAUUUGGCAGUGAGGUGGCGGUCCAUAUCCCUAAACAGAAGAGGUUGAAAUGGGACCCUUAAGGAAAGAAAGGCAUAUUUGUAGGCUAUGAAAGCUCAAAAGGGUACAGGAUUUAAUAUCCGGAAGAAAGGUUUGUUGACAUAAGAAGAGAUGUGGUUGUACUGUCAAAUAAAGGCUCCUGUGUUCCCGCCCAUGAUAAAGAAAAGGAAGAGGUGGUGAUUCUUUUGGAUUCUCACCCUGCCAGAGAGGUUAGGUCUAAAUCACAAGAGACACAAUAUGAUCCAGAGGUCCAAAAUUCAAGUAAAGAGGAUGAUGAAUUGCAACCAGAUGAAUACCAGAGUGCAGAUGAGGUGGCCAUGUCUGAAGCAUAAGGUGAAGGUAAUGGCUUUACAGAUGAGGUGAUAAUGCCAGAACCUCAAGAUGAGGGAGGUCACUUAGUGCUAGAACAAAUACCAGUAGACAAGGCACAGGAAGGUCAAUACUCCAGAUCUGGUAGGCAAGUCAAAAGGCCACAGAGAUUUGAUGACAUGGUAUUACCAAUUGGACAAGAAAGUGAUCCAAAAACUUAUGGUGAAGCUAUGAGAUCAAAAGACAAGGACAAGUGAGAAGGAGCAAUCAAAGCGGAGCUUGCACAAAUGAAAGAGUAUAACACUUAGACUGAGGUCCAAACAAUACCAGACUCUGCAAGCGCAGUGAGAUCAAAAUGGGUAUUCAAGAAGAAAGAUUAAUUCCAAGGGAAUCAGGAAAUGUUAGCUUCAGAUAAAAAAAAAUUGGCUAGCUGAAAAAAACUAUAAUGAAUAAAAAGAAGAACAUCAGAAUUGUCUUGAAGGCUAACUAUAACUUACUUUACUUUGAAAUCUCAACAUUGUUGAUCCUUCUGUCAUGAAGACACAAUGCUUCCGCUGCCUGCUUAUACUACACUAGAGUAAUCUACUCUAAUACUAUUAAGCGUCAACUCUCUGCAAGUAUAUUCAGAUGCCUUCAGCUAGAUCUGGUUAGUGAAGUGGAUAGUGACUGGGAAGAGGAACCAAACCAAUGAGAUCAACAGACGCGUACGACUAGCCUGGGCAGCCUAUUCGAAUCUAUGAGUUUGCCUUCAAAAUGAAAUUUAAGGCCUAACAAAAAGCCCGCAUAUUUGACCAAUGUAUCCUGCCAGUUCUCACUUACGGAGCUGAAACCUGGGUCUUCACCAAGGACAUAUUACUUAAGUUAAGCGUUGUCCAACAGGUGCUAGAGAGAAAACUAGUUGGGAUCACAUUGAGAGACCGUAAAACGAAUGAGUGGCUGAGACAGCAGAGCAAGGUCACCGACGUUGUAAAACGCGUAGCCAGAUUGAAGUGGGAAUGGACUGGUCAUAUAGCAUGAAAAACCGAUUCGUGGAGCAAACGUCUACUGGAGUGGUGACCAUGAGGGGAGGAACGUCCUCAAAGUAGACCCCAGAUGCGUUGGGACGACGACAUUCCUAAGGAAUGCGGGGAAGAAGUGGCUCCAGGUCACACAGAACCGUGACCAGUGGCAUAAAAUGAAGGAGGCCUACACCUGAAGGGUAGACAAGGGCUAAAGAAGAAGAGAAGAAGAAAAUGUGAUUAAUGUCAAAGAAGAUAUUCAAAAAUGUAAAUUUAGCAAUAUUUAGAAUGUCAGGUUUUGAGUAAACCUUUGCAUUAUUAUUAUUUAUUAAGCCUUUUUCUCCUUCAAUUACAAAAUAUUUUCAUUCUUGUUUGAUUGAAUAUGUAGUUAUGUGUAUCUCAGUAAGUUAAGGCCCCUGUCCGGGUAUAGGCCUCCUCCAGUGAUCUCCAGAUUUUCCGGUCUCCUGCUUUGUUUUGCCAGUCUUUUCCUGCUGUUUUUACUAUGUCGUCAACCCUCCGGUCCCGGGGGCAUCCUUAAUUUCUGUAGUUAACUGGGCCAACCCAUGUAGUAACCUUUUUAGUCCAUCUAUCCUUUGGUGCUUAAGAGUGCAGCAGCAGGUUGCUGGACUACAAUAGCAAGGGAUAGGGAUAAAUGGAAAGAGUUAGGGGAGGCCUUUGCCUACAAAAGGCAUACAGAUGGAAAUUAGAUAUAUAUAUAUAUAUAAAUACUUGUCUGAAAUAAAGGCUAUUUCAUCAUCCAUUGGUGCACGUGCCACAUGGCCCGCCCACAUCCACUUCAGGUGUAAGGAGUAGACAGCAUCUAUUAUAUUUGUUUGUUUUCGAAUGUCUACAUUUUUUCCUUUCCCUUAGUAUGAUAUUAAGUAUGCUCCUUUCUAUUGACCGUUGGCAUGUUUGUAUUUUACUUUUUAUUCUGCGGUCAAAUGUCCAAGUUUGUGAGGCAUAAGUUAAGCUGGGUAAUAUACAUGAGUCUAUAACUUUUUUCUUUAGUUUGACUGGCAGUUUGGAUUUUUGUAUCUCUUUGUAUCCCCAGAUUUUUUUCCAAGUUAUGUUUAUUCUUCUUUCUACUUCAUCUAAAUGCCUUGAGGGUUUAAAAGAUAUUUGUUUUCCUAGGUAUAUAUAACUGUCUACGUAUUCCAGUGGCGCAUCUUUGACCAAUAUAGAUACCGGAAUAUAGAUAUGUUUUCCAGUUGUGAAGGUGUUUUUGAAUAUAAUAUUAUAUCGUCCGUAAAUCUAAGGUUUGAUAAGUACUGGCCCUUAAUGUAUAAGUAGUCCUUUUUCUUUUCCUGUAGCACUGAUAUGAAAAUCUUUGGGGAGAGUGGGUCUCCCUGCUUCACACCUCUUUUAUAUUGAUAAUGGGCCCUAAUAGAUCCAAUUUUACACGGCUCCUACUUUUUCUAUAGACUUCUUUAAUUUUAUUUAUGUACGUACUUGCAACUCCUUGAUGUUUCAGUGCUUGCCAAAUGCUCUCAUGUGUUAUAGAGUCAAAUGCCUUGGCGUAAUCAAUAUAGGCUAGAUAGAGUGGGUUGUUAAAUUCCUGGUAUUUUUCUAUUACCUGGUCUAAAGUAUAAAUAUGAUCAGUGGUAGAAUACCCUGGCCUGAAACCUGCUUGCUCGCUUGGUUGGUGUUUUUCUAUAUGUGGCUCUAUUCUUUUUUCAAGGCUAAUUGGCUUGUAGUUAUUAAUGUCAGCUGGGUCGCCCUUCUUAUACUGUAGAAUAAUCCGUGAUUCUGCCCAGUGUUGAGGUAUUAUCUGUGUUUCAAGUAUUUUAUUAAACUGUACAGUAAGGGGACCAAUCAGAGCAGGAGUUCCAAUUUUUAAGGGCUUCGUUUGGUAUAUUAUCAGCUCCUGGACUCUUUUCGUUCUUUAAUCGCUUUAUAUUUUUCAGUAUUUCUUGAGUGUCAAAUGGUGGAACGGUAAUUUGGGCUGUUUGUACAUUGGUGCAUUUCUCUUGGUCCUGGUCUAUAUUCUCACUUUGUUUGUUAGUUGAGUUAUCACUACUAUAAAGUUUUUUAUAGAAAUCUGUUGCUACUUCCACUAGCUCUUCCCAUGUUUGAAGUUUUUUAGUUGCUUUCUGUGUUUUAAGAGUUGGUAUCCAUUUUUUCUCUGAGUUCAGCUGUUUAUAUGCUCUGUUUUGGCUUCCAGAUUCAACUAAAUUGUGCUCUAUUAUUUGAAGUCUGUAAUUUUCAGUCUUUUUUUAACAUUUUGUUUAACUUUUUUAACAUGCCGUAGCUCAGGAACUACAAUGGAAUGAAUGAAGCGAUUGGUGUAUGCGAAAUUAAAACGUGUGCAUUGUAGGUCGAUUGCGUCUUUCAAAAUGGAGUAAAUCAUUUCUAUAUAGUUUUUGACGAAUUAUACUAUAAAGAUGAUGGCAGUGGUCUUAUGCGGGAGGACGGGCAGAGUCAGUUAGAAUAGUUUGUAUUCAAACGGCGUGUGUAGGUCUAAAAUUAUUUGAUUACAAAAUACAUAGUCUAUAGUCAAAUUAACCAAAUGUACUGUAAUCGGUUUGUUGAAGUCCGAGAUGCGAAAUUAACAGUUUUUUUUUAAGAAAAUGAUUUUUUUUACCUAGAAGGUUUGCUUACUGACCAGAAUAAUUUGAGAAAGAGAUCAUUCAGCGUAAAUAAUAUCUAAUAAAUAUUAACAAUACAUUUAUUAGCUUUCUAAAAAUAUACAUUUUAUUACCAUACAACUAUUAAUAUAUAUGUCAAUGCCAAUUUUGUUUAGUAUUUUAUGCAACAGUUGUAUAAGAAGGGUCAAAAAAGGCGAGUGGCGUGAGUUACAAUGUGAGCCGGAGCCGAAGGCGUAGGCGAACAUUGUAAAGGAAUACGCCACGAGAAUUUUUUGACCUACUUAUACAACGUUGCAUACAAUAUUUUUCCUACGAGUCAACAAAAAUAAAUCUUAAUUUAGGUAAACAAAUUACAGCAAAAGUAUAUAGCCAAGAUGCGCGAGCAUACCUUGUUACGCGCCCAGCCCGCCCCGGGCCGCGGCCGGCCGGUCGGCGACACCUCGUAACUCAUGAGGCCCUGGUACUUGCUACUUGCUAAAUUAAUUUUUUGGACAUUUUUUUCUCAAUUUUGGCCACCGUAGCCUACGGAGACUAACAAGCAACGCUAAGCGGUCUUCGUAGUCUAUGGGUGUUGCUAUAUUACGGGUGUCACAUGCGUGUUUCUGACUUAUGAAGUAAUUAUUUUUACUAUGCAACCAAAUGAAUAUUUUGUAAGUUGGCAUCAAUGCACUUAGUUUAAAACUGUAUUCGUUUUGGUUUUGUUAGGUUGGUAGCCAUUAAUCGCAGUAACAUUAUAGCUUAUAAAAGCACAAGAGCUUUUAUGAGGAAUAGACAAUAUAGACUUUUCUUGAAAUCUUUUAUGUAUGUUCUUAUAUUCGUGUUAAUGAAUGCAUAAAUGACAGAUAACAGUAGAGGAGUAGGAAAAAGUAUAAACGGCGCAGCGUCGGUAAACCAGCAGCAUACUAUUAUUAUUUGAAAGUACAUUUAUUUAUAAUGUUCCUAAAUGAGAGGCUAUCGUUUGUAUUAUCUCAUAUCAUCUAAUAUCGAUAAACAUUGUGGUUUAAUAAUUCAUCUUAGUUUAGUAAGUUAUGUUUCCACAAAUAGUCAAGUUCUAAGUUCAUAACUUCGUUAAGUUCGUAGCUUCAUGAUUGCAAGACGACUGCACAUGAAGUAGUGUGUAGUAAUAUCUGUCUCAUUAUUUGACUCACAUCUACAUAUUAAACAUUUUCGAACCCACUUCGUAGUUAAUAACUUAAAAUCACCUUCAAGAUGUGGGCUGGGGCUUGUGGCGUUUUAAAGUGAGAUUAAUCGCUGCACGCUCUCGCCUAUAGAUUAUGAAUUUCUUGGUAUUAAAUUGAACUAAGGGAGUGCGUUACAUUAAAAAAAGACAGACUACAAAUAUAAAAAGCUAUAAUAUAUGUCAUCUCUACAAUUCACAUACAAUAAAAAAAUCACAUUAAGCUUUUUAUAAGACCUAGUAAGAAUUACUAGGUUUUAAUAUGGACCACAUUGGAUCUAUACUUUGUCCAUAUAAUUAAAGGGAAUCCACUCCUCCUAUAUAACGUGGUAACCGUUAAUAAAUGAAAUAGUUUAAAUUUAAACAUAAAAUCAUUCAUUUCGUAUUGAAAAGAGUAUUUAUUACUGCCCCAGUAAAA
Cydia pomonella (codling moth) is the source of this 8188-nucleotide long non-coding RNA. RefSeq lists it as uncharacterized. The transcript is spliced from 2 exons. The record is from RefSeq and is a predicted model, not a curated record. Lineage: Eukaryota; Metazoa; Arthropoda; Insecta; Lepidoptera; Tortricidae.